Molecule: long non-coding RNA, 879 nt
Filed under: Olea europaea (common olive)
Lineage: Eukaryota; Viridiplantae; Streptophyta; Magnoliopsida; Lamiales; Oleaceae
Description: long non-coding RNA (OEUR_LNC003445)
Source: RNAcentral
UCGAGAUUACUCUGUACAUGAGUAAGGCUAUUCAUUGGGUACUCUUUUUGGUGUGAUUUUUCAGUAUUUAUUCUAUUAUCAGAUUUCAGAUUAUGGAAUUCAGUUAAUUCAGUUUUCAGAAUAAACCUUUCAGCUUAUAGUAUUAAUGCAGCAAUAUUUCAUAAUUUUUCAUGGAUAUCAGAGUAUUUAUAGUCAUUAUGUUAUACAGUUGCCUUUUUAAAAUUAUGUCCAAGAAAUUAGGAUAUGAUCAUGUUUAGUUUUUAAAAGCGUCACUAUUUUUCAGAAGUUCUUAACGCUAAAUGGUGUAAGAAUUUUCAGAAAAUAGCAUAAAUGGAAAAGUUUAUUUAUUUUCAACUAUCCACUCACUGAGUUAUAAACUCAUAUCUUUUUACCAUGUUUUCCUAUCAGGAGAAGGUCGAUUCUGAGAUAUUUGGAAAGCCUGCUGAAGCAAAAGAGACCAUUUCCUAAGUAUGUAAUGAAUAGUUGGGAAACUUAUGUUUAUUAAGUAAUUGUCUAAUUUUGGGUGUCAAGUAUAUUUGUAGAAGGGUUUGUAAGUGAUGUAAUACUUGCAUGUUGACAGGAUGAUGUUGUAGAAGCACUCAGUCGAAUUUUGUUAUAUUUUGUAGUAGUUGUGGUGGUAUUAGAGGAAGUGGUGGUUUCCAAAACUUUUGGUUUAAAUGUCUAUUUGAGAUUUUGAUGAUUUUUCAGGUUGGUUUUGUCCAUAUUACAGGGGAAACUCUGUCAAAAUUUUCAUAGAUAUUAGCACAGUCAAAAUAGGUCAAGUUUGCCUUGGUGGUGGGUCCGGCAUUUAGCUGGCAUCUACUACCGGCGCACGACACGUGUCGAGUCAAUUAGGUUGAGUCGGGACGGGUCGUGUCA